CCCUUAGAUGUUCUGGGCCGCACGCGCGCUACACUGAUUCAUGCAACAAGUUUUGUCCUUGGCCGACAGGCCCGGGCAAUCUUUGAACGCCGGUCGUGAUGGGGAUAGACUUUUGCAAUUUUUGGUCUUCAACGAGGAAUUCCUAGUAAACGCAAGUCAUCAACUUGCAUUGAUUACGUCCCUGCCCUUUGUACACACCGCCCGUCGCACCUACCGAUUGAAUGGUCCGGUGAAGCCUCCGGAUUGGCGCGCACCUCGGUGCCGCCGAGAAGUUGGCUAAACCUUACCAUUUAGAGGAAGGUGAAGUCGUAACA
Molecule: ribosomal RNA, 314 nt
Filed under: uncultured eukaryote
Lineage: Eukaryota
Description: partial 18S ribosomal RNA
Rfam family: Eukaryotic small subunit ribosomal RNA
Source: RNAcentral